UGGGGAAUAUUGGAAAAUGGAGGAAACUCUGAUCCAGCAAUUCUGUGUGUGUGAAGAAGGUUUUAGGACUGUAAAACACUUUUAGUAGGGAAGAAAAAAAUGACGGUACCUACAGAAGAAGCAACGGCUAAAUACGUGCCAGCAGCCGCGGUAAUACGUAUGUUGCGAGCGUUAUCCGGAAUUAUUGGGCUUAAAGGGCAUCUAGGCGGUAAGACAAGUUGAAGGUGAAAACCUGUGGCUCAACCAUAGGCUUGCCUACAAAACUGUUGAACUAGAGUACUGGAAAGGUGGGUGGAACUACACGAGUAGAGGUGAAAUUCGUAGAUAUGUGUAGGAAUGCCGAUGAUGAAGAUAACUCACUGGACAGAAACUGACGCUGAAGUGCGAAAGCUAGGGGAGCAAACAGG
RNAcentral lists this ribosomal RNA (407 nucleotides) under Verrucomicrobiota bacterium. RNAcentral describes it as "Verrucomicrobia bacterium partial 16S ribosomal RNA". It matches the Rfam family "Bacterial small subunit ribosomal RNA", at positions 355 to 776 of the family's 1533-position model. The record is from RNAcentral. Lineage: Bacteria; Pseudomonadati; Verrucomicrobiota.